UGCAUAUCAAUAAGCGGAGGAAAAGAAACCAACAGGGAUUGCCUUAGUAGCGGCGAGUGAAGCGGCAAAAGCUCAAAUUUGAAAUCUGGCACCUUCGGUGUCCGAGUUGUAAUUUGAAGAUUGUAACCUUGGGGUUGGCUCUUGUCUAUGUUUCUUGGAACAGGACGUCACAGAGGGUGAGAAUCCCGUGCGAUGAGAUGCCCAAUCCUAUGUAAGGUGCUUUCGAAGAGUCGAGUUGUUUGGGAAUGCAGCUCUAAGUGGGUGGUAAAUUCCAUCUAAAGCUAAAUAUUGGCGAGAGACCGAUAGCGAACAAGUACAGUGAUGGAAAGAUGAAAAGAACUUUGAAAAGAGAGUGAAAAAGUACGUGAAAUUGUUGAAAGGGAAGGGUUUGAGAUCAGACUCGAUAUUUUGUGAGCCUUGCCUUCGUGGCGGGGUGACCCGCAGCUUAUCGGGCCAGCAUCGGUUUGGGCGGUAGGAUAAUGGCGUAGGAAUGUGACUUUGCUUCGGUGAGGAGUGUUAUAGCCUGCGUUGAUGCUGCCUGCCUAGACCGAGGACUGCGA
Molecule: ribosomal RNA, 560 nt
Filed under: Meyerozyma guilliermondii
Lineage: Eukaryota; Fungi; Ascomycota; Pichiomycetes; Serinales; Debaryomycetaceae
Description: eukaryotic LSU rRNA
Rfam family: Eukaryotic large subunit ribosomal RNA
Source: RNAcentral